Molecule: microRNA, 23 nt
Filed under: Gadus morhua (Atlantic cod)
Lineage: Eukaryota; Metazoa; Chordata; Actinopteri; Gadiformes; Gadidae
Description: gmo-miR-11201-3p
Source: miRBase by way of RNAcentral
UAACUGUACCUUUAGCUCUCAGU